This is a long non-coding RNA of Monomorium pharaonis (pharaoh ant), 1029 nucleotides long. RefSeq lists it as uncharacterized. The record is from RefSeq and is a predicted model, not a curated record. The transcript has 3 exons. NCBI's taxonomy places the organism in Eukaryota, Metazoa, Arthropoda, Insecta, Hymenoptera, Formicidae.
AAAAAUAGGUCCAAGAUAUGCUGUUUGAAUGCUUCGUAAAAGAUUUAAGAGAAAAUAACUUUUUUGAUAAAUUUAAUCGAUUGAUUAAACUACGCAGGUGAGGGCAAUCGCAAAUAUAUUGAAGAGGAAAAUGUGAAUGCACAUUACUUGAUGUAGUGGCAUCACAGGUGAUGAGAAAGAGAAAACAAGUUUAAUAUUUUUAUGUCUGAAGUCAAGCGAUUUAUACAGUAAUCCACAUGAAAUUAAUGUAUCAAUUAUAAAAAAUAUUGAUGAAAAAAUUAUUAAAUUAAUGUUCAUGUUUUUGCAAAAUCGGGUCUGAACGAUGCAAGGCACUGCGUAGCAGCUCUUAUAUAUUUAAUUAGGACAGAAGUGUAAUAUAGAAAGAUCUACAUGCACUGAUAUAUGGAACAAAAAUGGGGCAAAUUAAAAAACGUCAAAACAACCCAAAUAGCCAAAUAAACGCAACGUGUUGUUAUUUUGCUGUCACUUAUUCCCUAUUAAUUUUAUCAAACUAAAGCCAAGGUGUUUCCUAAAACUGUCUGUUGUUCUGACAUCAUGUAAAAUUCUACAUUAGAAUUCAACAAACUGACGUGAAAAACUAAUUAUUUUCCAUAAAUAAUGUUUUAUUUAUAUAAAACAUGAAUAUUCAUCUUACAAGUUACGACGAUUUACAACCGAAUUGUCAAAACAUAAUCCUAUUGUAAGUAAAGAUACCUGUACAUGUGUGUAUGUGCGUGGGUGUGCGUGUGUGUGUAAUAAAUUUUAUUACAAUCCUAUUAUAUUAUUCAAAACUUAUUUAUUAUACAUAUAUACACUUUAUUAACACACUCACGUACACUCGAGCGCGUCUGUGUGUGUAUGUGUAUGUGUGUGCAUAUUUUUUUAUAUGAUUAUACUUGUAAACUACAAUUCUUUUUUACAUUUACGCAAUGAUUAUAAAUAAUAUAAUUAAAGGCAUAAUCGGCUCAUUAUCAAAAAUGAGCUAUCGGAGAAAUUUGUGUAUUGCAUUAUAUAAAAAUAAAUUUUUGC